AACGCAUAUUGCGCUCUUUGGUAUUCCGAAGAGCAUGCUUGUUUGAGUAUCAGUAAACACCUCAACCUCUCUUUUUUGAUAAAAAAAAGGGAGGGUGGACUUGAGCUAUCCCAACGACCUUCACCGGUAGGCGGGCGGCUUGAAAUGCAGGUGCAGCUGGACUUUUAUCUGAGCUAAAAGCAUAUCUAUUUAGUCCUCGUCAAACAGGAUUAUUACUUUUGCUGCAGCUAACAUAAAGGAUAAUUGUCCUAUUUGCUGACUGAUGCAGGAUUUUACGACACUUUAUGUGUUGUUCAACUCGAUCUCAAAUCAAGUAAGACUACCCGCUGAACUUAA
This 336-nucleotide unclassified non-coding RNA is filed under the name uncultured Mortierella. RNAcentral's name for it is "sequence contains ITS2". The record is from RNAcentral. Lineage: Eukaryota; Fungi; Mortierellomycota; Mortierellomycetes; Mortierellales; Mortierellaceae.